This 252-nucleotide unclassified non-coding RNA is filed under the name Hevea brasiliensis (rubber tree). The record is from RNAcentral. Lineage: Eukaryota; Viridiplantae; Streptophyta; Magnoliopsida; Malpighiales; Euphorbiaceae.
CACGGAGCUGAAGCUGAUAUUGGAUCAAAGGGCAUAGCAAGGAUAAGUAACAAUAACCUUAGUGGCCCGGGGACCAUAAAUAGAACACUGCCAAGUUCUGAGAUACCAAGGCAAGGGAAACAGGCUCCGUGCUUCAUGGUUUACCAGCCAGAUUUUGCUGAAGUAUAUAAUUUCAUUGGGAGUGUUUUUGAUCCAGACACCACAGAUCAUGUGAAAAAGCUCAAAGAAAUGGACCCUAUAAAUUUUGAAACU